This is an RNA transcript of Teleopsis dalmanni, 953 nucleotides long. It is a transcript of the gene named ell-associated factor Eaf-like, with no coding region annotated. The transcript has 3 exons. NCBI's taxonomy places the organism in Eukaryota, Metazoa, Arthropoda, Insecta, Diptera, Diopsidae. The record is from RefSeq and is a predicted model, not a curated record.
UCAUAUUAUAUUACAACCGUCGAACUUAAUUUACUUAAUUUAUCAUGGGAUCUUUUUUCCUUUUUUUGGUUGUACCCCUUUAAUCCAGUACAUAAAACCGCAUGGAAAAUCUUUUGAGCUUUUAUUUUUCUUUCACAGAGCGCGAUGGCGUGAGAAUCGUACAAUUUUCAACACUCCUAACCCGAGGUUGAUGAACGUUUCUCUCCUCCGUGAUAGUAAACUUUUGCAUGGACAAGAACGUCGUGGCUCCAGAAUGUCAGUGCGUGCACCUUCACGCCAACCGAGCAUGGCUUCGCUGCGUCCCCAUUCGCCUAAUCCGUCGCUAGGUAAGACAGGACGAAUGCCACGUUCGAAGAGCAAUACACGUUCCAGUGACUCACGCGUUAGCGAUGUCUCAAAUUGCUCUAGAUUGCUCGAGCAUCCACAUAACACUAAUGCCUCAGCAAACGCAUCUGCAACUGCAUCUGCCUCCACCACAGCCACUGCACACUCGCAACAUGCGCCGAACGCAACACACAUAUCACUGACAGCAGCAACAAAUGAUGCUAUCACUACUACAUACGUAUCCGCGCCCGGUGCUGGAACUGCCUGUGGCAUGUCCAUGAACACUUCACCAUCGGUUGCCAUCAGAACGAAUAAAUUUUAAACGGAACUUGCGUUGCUGUGCCGAUUUGAUCAAUUAUUUUUAAUUUGGCCACAAGCAAGACUAUAUCAGCACCACCGACACCAACAUCCACACCGAGACAUACACCGAUAUAGAAAUCAAUACCGUUAACGGUAGCGAUACCGAUUACGUCAUACCGUCAUAUACGGACAAUACCAUUAUUGAACAGAUAUUGUUGCACUACUUCUGAAAUCGAAACUGAGGUUCACGUUCUGGUUCACACGGCAGUGCGAGCAAUGCAUCUGCUACGUCGAUUCGCUCGACGCGUAGCAAUUCUGUAGCACCUGGC